GAUGAACGCUGGCGGCGUGCCUAAUACAUGCAAGUCGAGCGAACAGACGAGGAGCUUGCUCCUCUGACGUUAGCGGCGGACGGGUGAGUAACACGUGGAUAACCUACCUAUAAGACUGGGAUAACUUCGGGAAACCGGAGCUAAUACCGGAUAAUAUAUUGAACCGCAUGGUUCAAUAGUGAAAGACGGUUUUGCUGUCACUUAUAGAUGGAUCCGCGCCGCAUUAGCUAGUUGGUAAGGUAACGGCUUACCAAGGCAACGAUGCGUAGCCGACCCGAGAGGGUGAUCGGCCACACUGGAACUGAGACACGGUCCAGACUCCUACGGGAGGCAGCAGUAGGGAAUCUUCCGCAAUGGGCGAAAGCCUGACGGAGCAACGCCGCGUGAGUGAUGAAGGUCUGCGGAUCGUAAAACUCUGUUAUUAGGGAAGAACAAAUGUGUAAGUAACUAUGCACGUCUUGACGGUACCUAAUCAGAAAGCCACGGCUAACUACGU
Molecule: ribosomal RNA, 496 nt
Filed under: uncultured bacterium
Lineage: Bacteria
Description: partial 16S ribosomal RNA
Rfam family: Bacterial small subunit ribosomal RNA
Source: RNAcentral